RNAcentral lists this ribosomal RNA (620 nucleotides) under uncultured Acinetobacter sp. RNAcentral describes it as "bacterial SSU rRNA". It matches the Rfam family "Bacterial small subunit ribosomal RNA", at positions 833 to 1453 of the family's 1533-position model. Lineage: Bacteria; Pseudomonadati; Pseudomonadota; Gammaproteobacteria; Moraxellales; Moraxellaceae. The record is from RNAcentral.
UGAGGCUUUAGUGGCGCAGCUAACGCGAUAAGUAGACCGCCUGGGGAGUACGGUCGCAAGACUAAAACUCAAAUGAAUUGACGGGGGCCCGCACAAGCGGUGGAGCAUGUGGUUUAAUUCGAUGCAACGCGAAGAACCUUACCUGGCCUUGACAUACUAGAAACUUUCCAGAGAUGGAUUGGUUCCUUCGGGAAUCUAGAUACAGGUGCUGCAUGGCUGUCGUCAGCUCGUGUCGUGAGAUGUUGGGUUAAGUCCCGCAACGAGCGCAACCCUUUUCCUUACUUGCCAGCAUUUCGGAUGGGAACUUUAAGGAUACUGCCAGUGACAAACUGGAGGAAGGCGGGGACGACGUCAAGUCAUCAUGGCCCUUACGGCCAGGGCUACACACGUGCUACAAUGGUCGGUACAAAGGGUUGCUACACAGCGAUGUGAUGCUAAUCUCAAAAAGCCGAUCGUAGUCCGGAUUGGAGUCUGCAACUCGACUCCAUGAAGUCGGAAUCGCUAGCAAUCGCGGAUCAGAAUGCCGCGGUGAAUACGUUCCCGGGCCUUGUACACACCGCCCGUCACACCAUGGGAGUUUGUUGCACCAGAAGUAGGUAGUCUAACCGCAAGGAGGACGC